Molecule: ribosomal RNA, 243 nt
Filed under: uncultured bacterium
Lineage: Bacteria
Description: partial 16S ribosomal RNA
Rfam family: Bacterial small subunit ribosomal RNA
Source: RNAcentral
CAUGCUGUAAACGAUGUCAACUAGCCGUUGGGGACCUUGAGUCUUUAGUGGCGCAGCUAACGCGAUAAGUUGACCGCCUGGGGAGUACGGUCGCAAGACUAAAACUCAAAUGAAUUGACGGGGGCCCGCACAAGCGGUGGAGCAUGUGGUUUAAUUCGAUGAUACGCGAGGAACCUUACCAGGGCUUAAAUGUAGAUUGACAGGUCUGGAAACAGAUUUUUCUUCGGACAAUUUACAAGGUGC